GACGAACGCUGGCGGCGUGCUUAACACAUGCAAGUCGAACGGAAAGGCCCCUUUGGGGGUACUCGAGUGGCGAACGGGCGGGUAACACGUGAGUAACCUGCCCUUCACUUCGGGAUAACUUCAGGAAACUGGGGCUAAUACCUGAUAGGAAACCGUGCUUGAUGGUGGGGGUUGGAAAGCUUCGGCGGUUUUGGCUGGACUCGGGGCUUAUCAGCUUGUUGGUGGGGUAGUGGCUUACCAAGGCUCUGACGGGUAGCCGGCCUGAGGGGGCGACCGGGCACAUUGGUACUGCGGGACGGCCCAGACGCCUACGUGCGGCAACAGUGGGGAAUAUUACACAAUGGGCGGGAGCCUGUUGCGGCAACGCCGCGUGCGGGAUGACGGCCUUCGGGUUGUGAACCGCUUUCAGCAGGGGCGAAGCUUGUGGUGACGGUACCUGCAGAAGAAGCACCGGCUAACUACGUG
This 465-nucleotide ribosomal RNA is filed under the name uncultured bacterium. Its description in RNAcentral is "partial 16S ribosomal RNA". It matches the Rfam family "Bacterial small subunit ribosomal RNA", at positions 28 to 507 of the family's 1533-position model. The record is from RNAcentral.